CUGCAGCCCGAGUGGUGAUCGAUUUUAUCGAGCCUAAAGCGUCCGUAGCCGGACUAGUAAACCCUUGGGUAAAUUGGGCAGCUUAACUGUCCAAAUUCCGAGGGGACUGCUAGUCUUGGGACCGGGAGAGGUCAGAGGUACUCAAGGGGUAGGGGCUAAAUCCUGUAAUCCUUUGGGGACCACCAGUGGCGAAGGCGUCUGACUAGAACGGAUCCGACGGUAAGGGACGAAACCCUGGGGCGCGAACCGGAUUAGAUACCCGAGUAGUCC
RNAcentral lists this ribosomal RNA (270 nucleotides) under uncultured archaeon. Its description in RNAcentral is "partial 16S ribosomal RNA". It matches the Rfam family "Archaeal small subunit ribosomal RNA", at positions 477 to 747 of the family's 1478-position model. The record is from RNAcentral.